Molecule: long non-coding RNA, 1360 nt
Organism: Oncorhynchus gorbuscha (pink salmon)
Lineage: Eukaryota; Metazoa; Chordata; Actinopteri; Salmoniformes; Salmonidae
Exons: 3
Source: RefSeq, a predicted model, not a curated record
CUGAUUUAGAUGAACAAUUAUACUUUAAAGGUCAGCCUUACACUGCAAUUUUCGAUUUGAUUAUUUUAGCAGACUCAUGCAGAGUGACUAACAGUUAGUGCAUAUGCCACCUAUGAUUAUAUUUAGUCAUUUUCCCUACUUAGGCUCUUUAAUAUUUAUUAAUUUAGUGUGCUGGGUUUUGGUUUUCUUAUGUGACUUCCUUUGAAUUGUUUAAUCCCAUUUGAACACUUGUGAAUGAGUGUUAAUUAGUUUUUUUUAACCUAAUGGGUAUGGGGGGUUAAUGAGCUUCCCCUGCACAAAGGAAGCCCUCAAAAUACAUAUUUCGCACCUGAAUGUGCUGAAUGAAGACCAGUGAAAGAUCUGUUCAAUGUUAUGUCUAGUUGCCAAAAUUUUAACGAACAUGAAAGGGGUUUGGAGAGAGAAAUCCUGUGGAGGUGGUUGAGCAACACUGGACUGUUACUGGCGCAGAGAUGUCUGGAAAGGUAGAGGGGUAAGAAGACGGGAUGGAGUAGAGUGGGAACAGUUGGAGGUAGAGUAGUGAGAGUAAAGGUUAAGAAGAGGAAGCAUGAGGAGUCUUUGGAGUUCUUGUCGGAGGAGAGUUGCGAUGAGGGAUUUUCGGUUCGCAGUGUUGUACUGAGAUAAGUGGAGUUCAUGGUAUUGGUGAAAUUUAAGGACGAGGAUGGGGUCACUGAGAAGUGACCUGCUAUGACAAGACUGCUGAUGCAACGACUACUGCAUCAGAACACCACAAUGCUGACGCGACCAACGCUCCAUGCCAAACAACUAUGGACUCUAGUGGUGUACACCGGUGUUGGUAGUGAUCUUGAGUCCAGACGCCUGUUAACAAAGAUCCUGAAUAUGGCGAGGGCAACUCAAGUAACUGUCAGUCCAAACAUUAGGCUUGGACUGCGGCAGGUUCCUGCCAAUGACCUGAACUGCCUUGAUUUAUUUACUGUCAUUCACUCGAGGUACUAGGAAAGGUGUUUGCUCAUCUAAAAGCUGAGCUUGGGCAAAUCCCUUGGGUUGACAAAGAUCCUGAACAUGAAGCUGAACACCUACUUAUUGAGAUGUAUCAUAGUAAAACUCUACCGAAGAACAAGACAAGAGUGGUGUCUUCUCUUAACGGGGAUGGGAACUAUAGAGUUUUUGUGGCAACAACAUCCCUGGGAAUGGGUUUGGAUUUCCGUAACAUUUCACAUGUUGUGAUGUAUGGCCCACCAGGGGAUUUAGAGGAUAUACAGGGCAUUCGGAAAGUAUUCGGACCGCUUUACUUUCCCCACAUUUUGUUACGUUACAGCCUUAUUCUAAAAUGGAUCAAAUAUUUUUUUCCUCGUCAAUUUACACACAAUAUCCCAUAAUG